UAGCGAAGGGGUCACACCUGAUCCCAUCUCGAACUCAGAAGUUAAGCCCUUCAGCGCCGAUGAUACUUGGGGAUUACCCCUGGAAAAGUAGGCCAGUGCC
Molecule: ribosomal RNA, 100 nt
Filed under: marine eukaryotic metagenome
Source: RNAcentral